RNAcentral lists this ribosomal RNA (375 nucleotides) under Triticum aestivum (bread wheat). Its description in RNAcentral is "partial small subunit ribosomal RNA". Lineage: Eukaryota; Viridiplantae; Streptophyta; Magnoliopsida; Poales; Poaceae. The record is from RNAcentral.
AUGGCCGGCGCCAAGAGAUUUGCUCAGUUGGCCAAGAGGCUCACCGUGACGGCCAAGGAAGACCAAGGAUGCUGCACCUCUGCACCGGCUAAGGGCCGUUGCGUCAUGUACACGGCCGACGGGAGGCGCUUCGAGGUCCCGCUGCUGUACCUCGGCACAACGGUCUUUGGUGACCUCCUGAGGAUGUCCCAGGAGGAGUUUGGCUUCGCGAGUGAUGGCAAGAUCACGCUGCCCUGUAAUGCCGCGGUGAUGGAGUACAUCAUGUGCUUGCUGAGGAGGAAUGCCUCUGCCGAGGUCGAGAAGGCGGUGCUGAGCUCUAUGGUGACACCUUGCCACUACACUGGCUCUGUGAUGCCUACCGUUGGAGGCAUCUAA